This 486-nucleotide ribosomal RNA is filed under the name Natrialba hulunbeirensis. RNAcentral describes it as "bacterial SSU rRNA". It matches the Rfam family "Archaeal small subunit ribosomal RNA", at positions 135 to 620 of the family's 1478-position model. The record is from RNAcentral. Lineage: Archaea; Methanobacteriati; Methanobacteriota; Halobacteria; Halobacteriales; Natrialbaceae.
GGAAACUGAGGCUAAUCCGGAAUAGGGCUCUCAUCCUGGAGUGGAGAGAGCCUGAAACGCUCCGGCGCUAUAGGAUGUGGCUGCGGCCGAUUAGGUAGACGGUGGGGUAACGGCCCACCGUGCCAGUAAUCGGUACGGGUUGUGAGAGCAAGAGCCCGGAGACGGUAUCUGAGACAAGAUACCGGGCCCUACGGGGCGCAGCAGGCGCGAAACCUUUACACUGCACGCCAGUGCGAUAAGGGGACUCCAAGUGCGAGGGCAUAUAGUCCUCGCUUUUUGCGACCGUAAGGUGGUCGCGGAAUAAGUGCUGGGCAAGACCGGUGCCAGCCGCCGCGGUAAUACCGGCAGCACGAGUGAUGACCGCUGUUAUUGGGCCUAAAGCGUCCGUAGCUGGCCGCACAAGUCUAUCGGGAAAUCUCUCCGCUUAACGGAGAGGCGUCCGGUGGAAACUGUGUGGCUUGGGACCGGAAGACCAGAGGGGUACGU